This 837-nucleotide small RNA is filed under the name Pan troglodytes (chimpanzee). RNAcentral describes it as "processed transcript". Lineage: Eukaryota; Metazoa; Chordata; Mammalia; Primates; Hominidae. The record is from RNAcentral.
CUUGAACCUGGGAGGCGGAGAUUGCUGUGAGCCAAGAUCACAUCAUUGCAUUCCAGCCUGGGCAACAAGAGCGAAACUCCAUCUCAGGAAAAAAAGAAAAAAAGAGAGAGAGAACAGAUUUAAAGGAAUUUGUGAUGUUCUGACAAGACUUGACUCCUGACUGAGUUGUUAUGGCUGAUGAGGGAGAAGGAAACGAUCAAGAUUACUUAGCAGUUUCUUUGUUAUUCUGAGAAUCGAGCAGAGAAGAAAGAAUACUCUGAGAAUGAAAGAGGAAGACAGCAUUCAGAGCGGGACAUAGUUUUGAGGUACAUGGGAUUCGGUCAGUAGUUGGAAAUUUGGAUCAUGAAUUCAGAAGAAACACCAAGGCAAGAAAGAUUUUUUUAAAACUUUAAUUUUUAAACUAAUUAUAGCACUUUUGAUUAAUCAAGUCUUAACAAGUGGGAAUAUUUUGGAAUUUUACUUCUAACACCUUAUUUUUAUGGGUGCUGUGAUUACACCAACCAUGGACCAUCCCAUGUCAAUGCAGCCAGCCAACAUGAUGGGCCCACUGACACAGCAGAUGAAUCACCUUUCGUUGGGCACAACAGGAACGAUUCAAUCCCAAGACAGGAUUAUGAUACUCCACCAGCUGUUGUGUCAGUAUAUGACUGCUGCUGCUCCUAUGCAAGGGACCUACAUUCCUCAGUACACGCCUGUGCCUCCGACAGCUGUUUCUAUUGAAGGUGUUGUUGCUGAUACCUCUCCCCAGACAGUGGCACCUUCAUCCCAGGACACCAGUGGUCAGCAGCAACAGAUAGCAGUGGACACAUCCAAUGAACAUGCACCUGCAUAUUCUUA